This 2025-nucleotide long non-coding RNA is filed under the name Durio zibethinus. RNAcentral's name for it is "long non-coding RNA (DZIB_LNC001572)". The record is from RNAcentral. Lineage: Eukaryota; Viridiplantae; Streptophyta; Magnoliopsida; Malvales; Malvaceae.
AAAGGGGUUUAAAGUUAUGGGAUUUCAAUCAAUUUUUCCCCCUCUUCUUUUUCUUUUUCCUGGUAAAAAUUUCCUCAUGCCCAGUUUUAUUUUCAAUCUUAAAAAAUUCUUUUUUUUACUGUAAAAUAUGGGUCUUUUUUUAAUUGAUUUUAUCUACUGUCUUUACAGUGACACUAUAAUUCGAGAGCUGGAGCAAUUGCAGCAAAUUUUUGGACACCCAACAUCGGCAAGGGCAGAGUAUUUGAUUUUUUUUUUUAAUUUCUUCUUUCUAUGAUCUUUGUUGGACUUUCACUGUGUAGAACGAAUUCUAUUUUUAGCUAGGCAUAACUUCUUUUUUUCUUAUUUUUGUUACUCAGGCUUUAUUGUAUGUUGGUUCUGUUCUGUUUUACCCAUAUUUCAUCAAUUUUUAUGAUUUAAAUUGAACUACUAUGUGAAAAGGAAUAUCGAGUAUUGCCAAGUAGUAUUUUCUUUGACUAUUACUGUACAUAAUUGUCAAUUUUGUUGUUCAAUUGCUAGCUGUUAAAUUUGCUGCAAAAGAAUGAUUAUUGCAGUUUGAAUCUCUUGUUUUUAUGGGGAAGAAUGGGAGGGUUGAAAAAGGGAAAUAAAAUGAAAUAGUUGGGUGGAAAGUGUUACCUUUUAUGGAGUUCUAGCUUAAUCAUCAUUUGUUUAAUUGUACAUUUUACACUUUCCAACAAUUGAAUGGAGCGAGUUUUUUGGAUUUCCAUUUCAUUGCUUUCAAGUAUCUUGGUCUAGAUAAGUUCCGUCCGUGUUUUCUGUUUUCAAAAUGAAUUAAUAUAUAUGACAUAACAGGUUCUUCUUGCAAAUUGGGAAUUGAAUGUUUAUAUGAAAAGGUGUUUAAAAUCUGAUCUUUUCUUUGUGGCAUCCAUAUUCUGCAAAGAUCUUUUGCCCUGUCUUUGUCCACCUCCUAGGUCUCAGUAUUUUGUCGGUUUGCUUAUGGUAGAGUUUGAUCUCCUUCUCUCCCAUUUUCCCUUUGUCCCCACUUUUCCUCUCCUUCCGCUUUAGCUCUUGAAAUUGCAUUUUAGAUCCUUGGUUGUUAUAGUGGAUUACAAGCAUACUUAACACUACGUUCAAGCUGUUGAAUUUUAGGUUCAACUUUCAAGUGUUAAAGUUUUAUUAAAGUUUUGAUUUCUUAUGUAAGCUUGUUUUACCCCCUUUUUUAGAGGGAGAGGGGGUUUGAGAGAGAUAAAAAUAGCACUUAUAUUAGUGUAUAUGGAUGUAUGUAUGUAUGUAUGUAUAUGGUAUACAUAAACAUAGGUUUAAAAAGUAUGCUACAUACGAUGUUUCUAUAAUACAAAAUUGUGUAAUUGCAAAAUAAAAUGUAAAUUUCAAGUACUGUGCACACUUAAAUUAUUUCUUAAAAAAUUCUAAAAAUUAAAUUCAAUAAAAUUAGAGUAUAACUUAAUGACCAAUAACAAAUAAAACUAAAAAAGGGAACCAUCAAGAACAUAAAAUUACUUGUGCAAAAUUAAUGCAUUAGCGAACCAUAUGAGGUUCUUGGUUGUUUUGCCUUAUUUAGAGGCUGUUUGAUUGGGUUUUUGCUAUUUGCUUUUUGCUUCCGAAAGUAAAAAAGCAAAAAUUGCAUUCCCAUAAGCAAUAAAAUAUUGAAGAGUUAAACACAAAAUAUGUAAAUUUUUUAUGAUUAACUACAUGAUUCUACUUCUAUAUAUACUAAUUGUGUUAUAACUGAUUUUAUAUUUUAAUUAUUUUUUCUGUUUCAGAUCAGUUAUGAUAUAUUUAUUGUUUACCUUUUGCUUUUCCUUUCUAGUAAAAUAUAUACGUUUUAUUCAUGUUCAUUUGUAACUUACCAGACUUCUUGACCAUGUUCUAGAAAUGCUAGUAUGUAACGAGUUUGCUUUGAAUAUGGCAGCUAACAAUAUCAGUGAAUCUUAGGUUUGUUGAUGCAAAUCAUGGCUAAUAGAUUCACUUGAAGCCUACUUAUCUAAAGAUCUUUAGAUUUUUGGAGGAUGAAAUACAGAGGUGGUGCUGAUGUUAAUAAUAUUGGAC